CUUGCUCCUCUGACGUUAGCGGCGGACGGGUGAGUAACACGUGGAUAACCUACCUAUAAGACUGGGAUAACUUCGGGAAACCGGAGCUAAUACCGGAUAACAUGUUGAACCGCAUGGUUCAACAGUGAAAGACGGUCUUGCUGUCACUUAUAGAUGGAUCCGCGCCGCAUUAGCUAGUUGGUAAGGUAACGGCUUACCAAGGCAACGAUGCGUAGCCGACCUGAGAGGGUGAUCGGCCACACUGGAACUGAGACACGGUCCAGACUCCUACGGGAGGCAGCAGUAGGGAAUCUUCCGCAAUGGGCGAAAGCCUGACGGAGCAACGCCGCGUGAGUGAAGAAGGUCUUCGGAUCGUAAAACUCUGUUAUUAGGGAAGAACAAAUGUGUAAGUAACUAUGCACGUCUUGACGGUACCUAAUCAGAAAGCCACGGCUAACUACGUGCCAGCAGCCGCGGUAAUACGUAGGUGGCAAGCGUUAUCCGGAAUUAUUGGGCGUAAAGCGCGCGUAGGCGGUUUUUUAAGUCUGAUGUGAAAGCCCACGGCUCAACCGUGGAGGGUCAUUGGAAACUGGAAAACUUGAGUGCAGAAGAGGAAAGUGGAAUUCCAUGUGUAGCGGUGAAAUGCGCAGAGAUAUGGAGGAACACCAGUGGCGAAGGCGACUUUCUGGUCUGUAACUGACGCUGAUGUGCGAAAGCGUGGGGAUCAAACAGGAUUAGAUACCCUGGUAGUCCACGCCGUAAACGAUGAGUGCUAAGUGUUAGGGGGGUUUCCGCCCCCUUAGUGCUGCAGCUAACGCAUUAAGCACUCCGCCUGGGGAGUACGACCGCCAGGGUUGAAACUCAAAGGAAUUGACGGGGACCCGCACAAGCGGUGGAGCAU
RNAcentral lists this ribosomal RNA (880 nucleotides) under Staphylococcus capitis. RNAcentral's name for it is "bacterial SSU rRNA". It matches the Rfam family "Bacterial small subunit ribosomal RNA", at positions 79 to 940 of the family's 1533-position model. Lineage: Bacteria; Bacillati; Bacillota; Bacilli; Caryophanales; Staphylococcaceae. The record is from RNAcentral.